This 951-nucleotide small RNA is filed under the name Arabidopsis thaliana (thale cress). RNAcentral's name for it is "ATSL212070". The record is from RNAcentral. Lineage: Eukaryota; Viridiplantae; Streptophyta; Magnoliopsida; Brassicales; Brassicaceae.
AAUAAAUAUCUAAUUUUUGUUGACCUGGCGAUAUUAGACACACUGUUAAGUAAAUUACUAGAUCCCGUUAACGGAGUUAAUUUUUUUGUUAACAGAGGCCCAUUAAUGCAAAACGUUAUUGUUUCCAACAACAGAGUGACGUCGUUUUGUAAUAAUGACUGAACUAAAUUCCCAAAUUCAAUCUAAGAUCUCUAAAUCAAGCAAAAUUCCUAUCUCUAAAUCCCCAUAUGAUUUGAAACUGGAGAUUUAAUUGAGCCGUUAUGACAAAAACGAUGACGUUUUAUUGUUAGAGUAAACGUUGUCGUUUUCAAUCAACGAGUAUGUUAACACACUAAACGUUCAAGGUCUAUUAACCUACUGAACAUCAUGCCUAAUAUAGUCAUGUCAACAAAAGUUUGAUAUUUAUUUGAAAAGUCAAGAAGGUUUGGUAUUUAUUUGGAAAGUAACAUAAGUUUGAUAUUUGUUUCGUUCGCCGAGAGUUCAAGAUUUAAAUCAAAGUUUUCAAUAAGUUGAGAAUUUUAAUGACAUUUUUUUCCAAAAGAUAACAUGUUUGAUAAAUAUUAUUUUUGCAUUGUAUUUUUCUUAACUACCAACUAAAUUAUAAGAACAGUGAGAGAAAGAAAAAAACAAAAACCAAAAUCUAAGGAGAAAAAGUAAAGAGACAAGAAAAAAAGAGAAAAGAAGGUUACUUACUUACCUACCUAAUCUCCAUUACCCCACACACAACACAGCAAAGCACAGCCUCACUUUAUCUCCACAUAGUCACAUGUACAUAUACCAAACUUAGUCAAAGUCUCCUCCUUUUUAUAUAACCCACAAAUUGAUCUCUUCUCUCUUCUCUUACACCAUCUUCUUCAUUCACCAUGGGAAGAUCUCCUUGUUGUGAAAAAGCUCACACAAACAAAGGAGCUUGGACUAAAGAAGAAGAUCAACGUCUCGUAGAUUAUAUCC